RNAcentral lists this long non-coding RNA (32012 nucleotides) under Brassica rapa (field mustard). Its description in RNAcentral is "long non-coding RNA (BRAP_LNC003297)". The record is from RNAcentral. Lineage: Eukaryota; Viridiplantae; Streptophyta; Magnoliopsida; Brassicales; Brassicaceae.
GUUCGCAUAGAUGACAACAGUCAAGAUUCGGUUUACCGAGUAUUGUCUAUGAGCUAUGAAGAUUUGCCCAUGCAGUUAAAGCAUUGCUUCCUAUACCUAGCUCAUUUUCCCGAAGAUGACAAGAUACAAGUACGGAUAUUGUAUAAUCUUUGGGAAGCAGAAGGAAUAAUAACGUCAAGUUGCGAUGGAGAAACCACUAGGAAAAUUGGAGAAGAAUACAUAGACGAGCUAGUAAGGAGAAAUAUGGUUAUUGCAGUAAAAGAUGAUUUGAGUUGCAAAUGGAAGUAUUGUCAAAUGCAUGACAUGAUGAGAGAAGUAUGUUUAUAUAAAGCCAAAGAAGAGAACUUUCUUCAGUUUAUCGAAGUACCUACUUCUUCCACCUCUACCAUCAAUGCGCAUACUCCUACCAGAGCUCGCAGACUCGUAGUACACGGUGAUGGUAAUGCAUUUGAUAUGCUGGGACGUAAAAACAAUCAAAAAGCUAGAUCUGUUUUGGGUUUUGGACUCGACAGCAACUUGUGGAAGCAGUCAGGUCAAGGAUUACGAAAUUUACAACUACUUAGGGUCUUAGAUCUGAAUUUACAAACACAUGAUAGCGACUCUAGAGGAGGGAGAAUACCAUCCAGCAUUGGAAAGCUCAUUCAUUUGAGAUAUUUGAGCUUACACAUGGGUCGUGCAACUCAUGUACCUUCUUCUUUACGGAAUCUAAAGCUUCUAAUCUGUUUGAGCAUUUACUCCGAGGGAAGAGUUCAUCUGCCAAGUAUCUUUAAAGAGAUGGUAGAGUUAAGGUCCCUGAUGCUUCCCCGUUAUAUUGACGCUAAAACAAAGUUGGAAUUGGGUAAUCUACUGAACCUAGAGUACUUGGUCGGCUUCCGACUUGAAUACGGUAGCAUCACAGACUUCCUCCGAAUGAAAAAGCUCAGGACUCUCGAGAUAUUUCUCAAAGGCAGGUAUACUUCUGAAAUUCUUGCGUCAUCUCUCUGUGAAUUAACAAACCUGGAGACGCUUAAAUUGAUCAAUGUGAACGGAUACGAUGAGGCUUAUGAUUUGGAUUUCGUUUGGAAUUUCAUUCAUCUAAGGCAUUUAGAGCUGGACAUACAUAUAACAAGGCUUCCUGAUCACUCUCGAUUUCCUCCCCACCUUGCACACAUAUCUCUAUGUGACUGUAAAAUGGAGGAGGAUCCACUGCAGAUUCUGCAAAAGUUGCUUCAUUUAAAGUCGGUUGAAUUAUCAUAUAGUACUUUCGUGGGGAGGAAGAUGGUGUGUUCAAAAGGUGGAUUCCCUCAGUUAUGUAAGCUACAAAUACGGUUCCUGCACAACUUGGAAGAGUGGAUAGUCGAAGAAGGGUCGAUGCCAUGUCUUCGUACCUUGUCUAUUCGGUAUUGUAAGAAGUUGAAGGAGCUACCGGAAGGGCUCAAGUAUAUAACUUAUUUAAAGGAACUGGAUAUCAGACAUAACAACAAGGAGUGGAAGAAGAAACUCGCACCAGGUGGGGAAAGUUAUCACAAAGUCAAACACAUUCCUAGUGUUCAAUUAAACUAUCGUGGCAAUUAAUAAGGAGAAUAAAACUGUCUCAGGUAUAUAUUCUUUUUGGUAUAAUGUCAAUAUUGUUCAUUUUGUUGGUUAUGUAUCCUCCUUGAAGUUUAGUGUGAGUCUCAACUCUCUGUUAUUCGGUUUUCAGGUGAACCUACUCAGGAUCAGUACCCACCACUAUCGAUUGUGUGAUAUGAUAAUAAGUCGUUUUUGUUGUAUGAAGUUUACAUAUCUUGUUUGUGAUAUAUUUCGUUUAUCUGUUUGCAUGCUCAUUCACUGUAAUACUAAGUUUGAAAUAUAUUUUGUAUGUUGAACCAUAUCUUCUUCGAUGUCUCCGUUGUGUGUGCUUAGUUGAUUUUCAUAGUCGGAACUGGAGAUAGAACGAUGGUUUUAUCAUGACAAAACGCAAGAACAACAACACAUAUAAAUUAGAUAUGUUGUAACAACUAUUUAAAAAAUUGAAUGAUGGAAACCCCAAAUUUGUUUAAAGAAAAUGAUGUUGAUAGUGGUUUUUGAAAAAAAAAAAGGGAUUAUGAUGAACAAUAACAAUGAAAACUCAUUGUAAACACGCUUUAGAGAGCCAAACAAAUAAAUCAAUUCUAAGAUUUUUGGUGGAAAGGUAAUUUAAGAGGAGAUGGAAAACGAUAACAGGAAUGAGUCUUUAAAAACACACAUAUAUAUAGAUUGAUAAAGGAUGCUUCAUCUAAGAGUUGUAUUGUUUUGAGAUGGAGACUAUUCGGUGAAAAGAUGCAACGCACCGCAGUUUUGUUUUUUUAUAUCAUUAAAUUCAAUCAAAUAUGACUGUUGGACUUAAAACCUUUUUUCUUUUAAAAAGUGACGAUAUCACCAGUUUUGGUAUGCUAUUAUAUAUAUAAUUUUUUUAUAAUGAAAAUAUACAAUUUUAAAAAUUAAUAAUAUUCAGAUUGUUAUGAAAAUAUACAAUUUAUAUAAUGAACAGACACAAUUUUUCAAACUAAUACAUUUCAGUUUUUUUUUAUGAAACAACACAACCAAAGUAGUUAUUUUGAAAAGACACAACUAUUUCGAUUUUUAGAAAAGAUACAACUUUUCAACAUAAGUAAGAUUCAUAACCUUUGAAAUUAAUCAGGAUUGCUAUUAUUAGUAGAUAAAAUAUUUGAUUUUAUCAUAUAUAUAUAUAUAUUAACAGUGGCGGUUCUACUAAGCUCAAGAAGGUGGCACUUGCCCCCUAUAAAAUCAUUAAAUUCUUUUUAACUUACCCAAAAUUUUGUUACAUACGUUUACUGAAAAUCAUGUUUUAUUUAUAUAGUUGUAUUUACAUAUGAUUUGCCCCCAGUAAAAUUUUGUUCUACAUCCGCCCCUGUAUAUUAAUUAACUUUUAGAAAUCCGACAUUUAUAUUUUUUUGUUACACUAUUUGGUGUAUACAAAAUAUGUUUUAUAGAAUUUAAAAUGUAUUUUUAUAUAUAAUUUUACGAAAUAUUAUCAAAAUAUAUUGAAAUGUUAAGAAAAAAUAGAAAUGAACUUCAUUUGUGAAUAUAAAACAAAUAAUACAAUGUUUAAUGUUUGUACUUUAUGUGUUUAUUAAUUAUAGAAUUUUUACUGCAUAUUGUUAUAAAUAUAUAUAUAUAUUUUAAAAACAUUUGAAAAGACUAAACACACUAUUAUUUCAAGACUCUGAUCUUAUAACGUGUGUUACUAUUUUCAGAAUUUGAUGUUGAUGAGGAACUAGAAGCCAUGGGUAAGGAAAUGGUGGCAUAUUGUGGAGGACUACCAUUAGCCAUUAAAGUGUUGGGAGGCUUGUUAGCUAAUAAAACCAUGGUUGAAGAGUGGAAAAGAGUAGAUGACAAUAUUCAAACUCAGAUAGUUCGCAUAGAUGACAAAAGUCAAGAUUCUGUUUACCGAGUAUUGUCUAUGAGCUAUGAAGAUUUGCCAAUGCAGUUAAAGCAUUGCUUCCUAUACCUAGCUCAUUUUCCCGAAGAUGACAAGAUACAAGUACGGAUAUUGUAUAAUCUUUGGGAAGCAGAAGGAAUAAUAACGUCAAGUUGCGAUGGAGAAACCACUAGGAAAAUUGGAGAAGAAUACAAUAGACGAGCUAGUAAGGAGAAAUAUGGUUAUUGCAGUAAAAGAUGAUUUGAGUUGCAAAUGGAAGUAUUGUCAAAUGCAUGACAUGAUGAGAGAAGUAUGUUUAUAUAAAGCCAAAGAAGAGAACUUUCUUCAGUUUAUCGAAGUCCCUACUUCUUCCAUCUCCACCAUCAAUGCUCAUACUCCUACCAGAUAUCGCAGACUCGUAGUACACGGUGGUGGUAAUGCAUUUGAUAUGCUGGGAAGUAAAAACAAUCAAAAAGCUAGAUCUGUUUUGGGGUUUGGACUCGACAGCAACUUGUGGAAGCAGUCAGCUCAAGGACUCAGAAAUUUACAAUCACUUAGGGUCUUAGAUCUGAGUUUAGAUUAUAAAAACGACUCUAAAGGAGGGAGAAUACCUUCGAGCAUUGGAAAACUCAUUCAUUUGAGAUAUUUGAGCUUAGACAUGGGUUGGGCAACUCAUGUACCUUCUUCUUUACGGAAUCUAAAGCUUCUAAUCUAUUUGAGAAUUUCCUCCUGGGGACUGGAAAGAGUUCAUCUGCCAAGUAUCUUUAACGAGAUGGUACAGUUGAGGGUCCUGAUUCUUCCCCGUUCUUUUGAGGCUAAAACAAAGUUGGAAUUGGGUAAUCUCGUGAACCUGGAGUACCUGAUCGGCUUCCGAUCAGAAUACGGUAGCAUCACAGACUUCCUCCGGAUGAAAAAGCUCAGGACUCUCGAGACCUGGAGAAGCUUACAUUGAUCAAUGAGAACAACAAAUCCGAUGGGGUUUAUGAUUUGGAUUUCGUUUGGAAUUUCAUUAAGCUAAGGCAUUUAGUGAUAUGGAUGCAUAUGCCAAGGCUUCCUGAUCACUCUCGAUUGCCUCCCAACCUUGCACACAUAUCUCUAACUAACUGUGAAAUGGAGGAGGAUCCACUGCAGAUUCUGCAAAAGUUGCUUCAUUUAAAGUCGGUUGAAUUACAUCAAAGAUCUUUCGUGGGGAGGAAGGUGGAUUCCCUCAAUUAUGUAAGCUAGACAUAUGGUACCUAGACGACUGGGAAGAGUGGAUAGUCGAAGAAGGGUCGAUGCCAUGUCUUCGUACCUUGUCUAUUCGGUUCUGUGACAAGUUGAAGGAGCUACCGGAAGGGCUCAAGUAUAUCACUUCUUUAAAGGAACUGGUUAUCACACAUCAGAACAAGGAGUGGAAGACAAAACUCGUACCAGGUGGGGAAAGUUAUUACAAAGUCCAACACAUUCCAAGUGUUCAAUUAAACUAUCUUGGCCACGAAUAAGGAGAACAAAACUGUCUCAGGUAUAUAUUAUUUUUGGUAUAAUGUCAAUAUUGUUCAUUUUGUUUGUUAUAUAUCCUCCUUGGAGUUUUGUGUGAAAGUAUGAACUCUCUGUUAUUCGGUUUUCAGGUGAACCUACUCAGGAUCAGUACCCACCACUACCGAUUGUGUGAUAUGAUAAUAAGUCGUUUUUGUUGUAUUGGUGUAUGAAGUUUACAUAUCUUGUUUGUGAUAUAUUCCGUUUUAUCUAUUUGCAUGCUCAUUCACUGUAAUGCUAAGUUUGAAAUACAUCUGCAUGUUGAACCAUAUCUUCUUCGCUGUCUCCGUUGUGUGUGCCUAGUUGACUUGUAUUGUAUGGUCGGAAAUGGAGAUAGAACGGUGCUUUGAUAGUGAUCACUUAAUACUAUUCUUAACAUGAUUUUAUCAUUUGGUUUAAGGAAUGUCAAGAGCUUUUAAAUGAAACAUCUAGUUAAUCCGUUUUAACAGAUAUAGAACCUUGGAGUUUAUUGAAACCAAAGUCAAGAGUUUCUCACCACAAUGAGACUAUCCUCACAGUUGAUAUCAAUGGCGCAAUCAAAUCAUAUAUACAACACCUUAGAGGAUUCAAGAAAGUCUCUUGGUUCCAUUCCUUCGCGACCUGGUUCGCUUUUUUCACUACUCAAGUGAUCAGCACUUUUGAUUGAAAACUGAUACCACACAGCAUCCACUUGAAACUAAACAUAAAUAUACAACCAAACAGUUACGCAAUGAUAGCUCAACCAGACAGAACCGAACCGAAUCUUAGUUUUGCUUUCCAAAUUUUAAAUAACGGGAUAAACCGGUUGAUUCUCAUCCAGUUCUGUAAUUUGUCUGACACUACUCAAGUGAUCAGCACUUUUGAUUGAAAACUAAUAACACACAGCACCCACUUGAAAGUUGAAACUAAACGCAACUCAAUGAUAAACCGGGAUAAACCGGUUAGUUCUCAUCGAGUUCUGUAAUUUGUCUUUUACUAUCAAACCGGACAAAUUGAUGGUUUAAAAACAAAACUCAGUCUGGAUUAUAAUAAAAUCAGAUCAUGAAACUCUACCAAACAAGAGUCCUUUCGGUCUCUGCAAAUUUGUUUUCGACUCUAAUUGAGAGGAGGAGAAGUCCAGUACUUGAAACGAAUCCAAAAACGCGGUGAUCCGUGCGUUUUCAGACACCAUCGCGACCGUAUGCAUAACUGGGUUAGAGCUUCCUCAUCCGAUUUCACCGGAACUCCUCCACAGCCCAGGAGGUAAAUUAAUUACUUCUUCUCCAUUCAAUUUCCGAUUUUAAUUUCAGCUGAUGAUUUUUAUUCUUCAUCAGUGGACAUACAGCUGUCAAUGUCGGAAAAUCCAUGGUCGUGGUGUUCGGCGGCCUCGUCGACAAGAAGUUCCUCAACGACAUCAUUGUUUAUGACAUUGGUAAUAUCAUACUUCCUUAGGAUUAUUGUUUCCUUGCUUCAAGAAAGAUGCUUUCUUUCUCACGAGUUACGUUCUUGGCUUGCUCUGCUUGUCUCUAGUAGUUUAUUUGAUAGAACGAUGCUUACAUCAAAGAUAGUUACUUUGCAACAAAAAAAAAAAAAAACUAUAGAAAGCUGAAAACUUCAAGAUGAGAUUAUUCGAUUCGGUGUUGUUGAAGAGGAAUCAGAUGGAUACUCUCUUUUCUUAUUUUGCUAGUUUUGUUUCUGAGCUUCUUUUGACCCCUCCUUGGCCUUGUUUUAAGUAUCAUAUAUGUGCAGCUUUUUUGAUCAUGUGAUAAUCGGUUUGUCUUAUGAUUUGCUUCUUCUUUAUCCUGUCGACUAGAGAACAAACUCUGGUUUGAGCCAGAGUGUACUGGCAGCGUUUCUGAAGGAAAAGUUGGCCCUACACCUCGCGCCUUUCAUGUUGCCAUCACUAUUGAUUGCCAUAUGUUCAUCUUUGGUGGACGUUCUGGUGGCAAGAGGUACUCACUACUAUAUAUUUUCUAGUUAGAAGCGUUUUUACAUUUCUACUUUCACCGGAAUAGCUUAUUUCUAGAAAUAAAUCAAUUUCAGAUUGGGUGACUUCUGGGUUCUAGAUACAGGUAAGUGUACAAUCAUAACAAUGUCAGUGACAUUAUGUCACUGAGACCUGCCUGGGAACUUUUUAAUACCCUGCUGCUGACAUUUUCUGCAGAUAUAUGGCAGUGGUCUGAGCUAACCAGCUUUGGCGACUUACCUACACCUCGUGAUUUUUCUGCUGCCGCUGCUAUUGGCAACCAGAAAAUCGUGUUGUGAGUAUCUGAAAUUUUAGACGUUCCAUCAGCUUGUUUCCUGCAUUGGCUUAGCCUAUGAUCAUUGGCAGGUGUGGCGGCUGGGAUGGUAAAAAAUGGCUGUCAGAUGUGUAUGUUAUGGACACAAGUAUAUCUCUCGUCUACUUCAGUUUUGUAAUAAACUGUUUUUAAGUUUCUGAUAAUGUCAGCUUUCUUGGUGUCUGUUAGUGUCUCUUGAAUGGAUGGAGCUGUCGGUUUCGGGGUCGUUGCCGCCUCCUAGAUGUGGCCAUACAGCCACCAUGGUUGAGAAACGUUUACUUGUUUUUGGUGGCCGAGGUAUAACACCAGAACCAGAAUCUUUGUUCUGCUUGAGCUGAUGACAACUAAACUGAGACUAUGGUUAUCUUUGACAGGAGGUGGUGGCCCUAUCAUGGGUGAUCUGUGGGCUUUGAAGGGUCUAAUAGAUGAAGGUUCAUCCUUACCUAAAUUACUUAAAAAUUGCAUUCUUAUGUUCUGUUUGCUAAUCUUAUUGUGGUUUACCUUUGUUGUGCAAGAAAGAACGUGAAACACCUGGAUGGACCCAACUAAAGCUUCCUGGCCAAGCACCAUCAGCUCGAUGUGGUCACACUGUCACAUCCGGAGGACAUUAUGUAUGUCUAUUUCAGCUUCCGUUUGCUCUUUUGUAUAAAUAGGUCGCAUGACAUACAUCACUCACAUCAUUAAUGUUCAUGUAUGAAGCUUCUGUUAUUUGGGGGACAUGGAACUGGUGGAUGGCUGAGUCGUUAUGAUGUCUAUUAUAAUGACACUAUAAUUUUAGACAGAGGUACAUUCUUGCUUAUGAGAUUCGUCUCCUCUGCUAAAGGAGCACUCUAAAUCCAAAAAUCCACCUCAGUAAUUUACAAUCUAGUGAGAUGAUAAAAUUGUGAUGUGCUUUAUCAUUUUUCUUGCUGAGCAUUGUUUUCUACGCGUUGUUGCUAAAUUUAUAUUUUCGCAUACUAGUAACUGCGCAGUGGAAGCGCUUACCAAUAAGCAAUGAUGAACCUCCUCCUCCUCGAGCUUAUCACACCAUGACAAGUAUUGGAGCUCGUCAUCUUUUAAUUGGUGGUUUUGAUGGAAAAUCAACCUUCGGUGAUCUUUGGUGGCUGGUUCCUGAAGGUAUCUUUCUCUUAUUUAUACUGAUGUUUUAGUCCAACUUAGCUAUCAUUCUGUGUACACGCAUCAUCAGUUACUUAUUGUUGGAAACUCUUUAGACGAACUAAUCCUGGUGUUGGUCGCAGAUUGUAGGCAAUUUUAGAGACACUUAAUUUCUAGCAUAAUCUUUUUUUUCUUCUUUAUCAAGUUUGUAUUGAAAGUUUUGAAGUUUUACUGAACUGUUUAGCCUUCUGAAAAUGUUGUUAUUCGUUUUUUUCUUUUUCUCUUUUCUCAGAUGAUCCCAUAGCCAAGAGGUCUUCUGUACCUCAACUUAGAAACCCUCCUGAGACUAAAGAGUCAGAGAGAGAUUUGGAUACGGUAACUGUAGUUCCUGCUCAUCAUCUUAUGUGUUUCUCGCCAAUGCAGUUAAAUUAGCUUUUCAACGUGUUUUUAACACCAAGAGUUUGGUCACAGCAGGAAAGAGGACAAGAGGGAUUCACUAUCGCCGACUUGCAAAAGAAAAUGGGAAUCUCUGUUUCUUCAGGGUUACGCCUUCAAAUACCCGAGGAGUUAGAAGAUCAAGAGUUCGUUGAGUUAGGAACCAGAUUGAUUGAGGGAGAUGCAGUUGAUAAUGGAGCCUCCAUGAUUCAGGUGAGUUUUUCCUCUUGUCUAUUUUAGAAUGUGUGAUUGUGUUAUUCUUGUACUGAAAAUGCUUCUCAACGAAUAGAUGGCAGUUGAAGCACUUCGUCAACAUUGGAAAGAGUCCACUCCAGAGACUUUGCAAUUAAAGGAGCUUGGUUCCUUGCUUCGAGAUUAUCAGCGACUGGUUACCCGAAAAUACACGUGAGUUCUUAUCCAUGCCUAACUAUUUCAGACUCAGUUCUUGUUUAUGUAGAUUAUCUUUUGUUUCACUAAAAAUGGUUGUUCUUUGAUUGCGCUUGGAAUCACCACAUGGCAUUAGAAUAACUUAGAUAAAUCUCCUGAGAGUUUAGGAGUCAUAUAGAGUUAAUAUGAAUAUAUCAUUUUUGUGUCUUGAAUAGCCCUCGAGACUCUUUAAUCCGAGCAUAUUGUCAAAACUGAUAAUGUUGUGAAUGCAUUGUUUUGUGCCCCUACUAUUACAUGUUAUGAAAUCUCACAUCUGCUUCUUCCUUUCCUUGACACAUGUUUCUUUUCAUUUGUUGUGGCGGGUUUCUAUCAGAGCACAGAGCAGCUUAACAUCUGCUGAUUUUGGAAAGAAGACGUUUACGUUUUAUCAUAUCAAAAAUUCUUCCGAGGUAUUACUCUGCAUACUUUCCUCCCUCGCCUGAAUAUUUGACACCAAUCAAUCAAAACAUCAGGCUUUCCUCCUGACAUGUCAAGUUUACAUUUUGCUAUUCUCAGUUGCGGAUGGAUGACAUUCCGGAGUUGCUGGAAGAAUACAAAACCCUUGUAAUCUGAUUGAGGAGCUCUGCCAUGAAACUCACAAGGAGAAUACAAAACUCAUCAAGUAGCUGCCAAGAAGAUCACCAAGAUUGCUAUCAGCAUUACCAUUGCAAACCACAAAGCUAAAAAGUCUCAAGAGAAUCACAUCUCUGAUAGACAACUAUGUACAACUUCUUUUUAGCAAGAACAAAAAGAUACAACGUAUAUGUAAGACUUCCAUUAUCUCAACUUAAAUCCAUAUCUAAGCCUCUGCUCUUUUAUUUCUUGUUUGGGCUUUGAAAAUAGAUUGUUUUGCCUUGAAGCCAAUGCGAAAGUAAGGAAAAAAGUAGGCAAACUUCAUCUAUUAGACUUUGAAAUGGAUUACAACAACAACGGUACUCUUGAUAACUUAAACCACAGAGUUUCUGUCUGCAUAGACCCGUAUUGUCUUUUCUCUAUCCCCUAAAACAACUCGAACUCAAGAUGAUCUCCCAUGGCUUUACAUUCAAGAUAUCCAUUACCAUUUCCUUUAGGAGAAGUUGCUUCCGUUGCACCAUUCUCAUAUACAUCCGGCAGCUCAGGCGGAAUGGCGCAGCGGAUGAGAGCCCAGUUCAAUCCUUCAAAGAAUGGAUGCCUCUUGAUCUCUGCAGCUCCUUUCUCCCACCCGAGGCGGCUCCCCGGAUCCUUCAUCACCAACCUUCUGAUCAAAUCCUUUGCCUGGAAGCUCACAAGAGGGCUAUCAGGAAACUUGAGGUUCUGAAACACAAACGUCUCCUCAUUGUCAUAACCUUUGAACGGUGUCUUCCCGUAUAAAAGCUCAUAGAGAAGAACCCCAAACGUCCACCAGUCUACUGCAGCACCGUGACCUUCUCCUUUAAUGAUCUCCGGCGCCAAGUACUCGUGCGUUCCUACAAAAGAGUUUGAUCUUGCUUCAGUUGGUUCAGCCACAAGCUGAGGCAAUGAUCUGAACUGUUGGGUCAGAAGAUCAGGCCUUCUCUGUUUUCUUGGUUUUGAGUUUCUAGCUUGCGUUGACAAGAGCCUAGGGCUGAAACAUGGGACACGGCACGAUGGACUCUAUCUAAAUCACAGGUUCUUCAUCUUCUUUGGAAGCUGAGGAGCUUGAUACAAUAAGUGAAGACGAAGACAAACAGCAGUAUCCAGGCGAUGUGCACCGCAGCUACAGCUGGUAAGAAGUCAUGUUCGAACCCGGAUCCAUCUUUGAGCAACUGUUUUAGUUCCGUGUCUAGGAGACCAGUGUUCUGCACUAUCGAAUCUUGGUCUCCUACUUGAGAUGUGAUGCUUCCAUACAAUGUCCAGCCACUGGCGUUGCCUAGUAAUUAAUAUCAUCUCCACCAUAUCAAUAUUUGCUGCAUCCCCUCCUCCAUAAGAAACAUAAAACAUAAAAGUUAGGUAGCUCUAAAACACUUCUGAUCAUAACAAAAAGUAAGAUCUAUAACACACUUGAUGAUUACGUAAGUUGGUUCGUAAUUUUUACCAAUCUUUGGGAUGAGGAACUGGAGAAAAGAUUCCAAAUAGACCGAGGAAGAAAGACAUGCAGAUUCCGGAGAUUUGAUAGUUUGGUGUCAAGGCCACAAAGCAUCAAGCUUGGUAACAUGUCGUAGUAGUAGAAGUAGAACCAGAAGAACUUGACCACAGUACGGUCGUAUCCUAUCAUUGAGUAAAGGAUUAUAGUAUGUAAACUCUAGUUUGUAUGGUGUCAUACUACAUGAUCUAAUAACUUUGUCUAUAUUACCAAUUUUCCCAAUUAAUUAUUUCUAACAAAAGUAUAAUGUAUACAUAUCAAUGAAUAUAUAUUUUGAAAGUUGAAAAUAAGGGAGAAAUUUUUUUUUACCAAAAAGAAUAAUAAGGGAGAACUAUAGUGAAUGCUUCGAGUGGGCCUAAGCAAACGCAUUAUUGCCUUGCGAAAAAAUCAUUAUCGCCAGAGACUAGAAAAAAACUCCUAUUUUCUUUUUAAUUCAAAAUUAGAACCACAAGAUGACUGUCAUAGACUGUCGAUACUCUUUCAUUAUUUCUUCUUCCAAAGAACGUCGCUAAGCAAGUUGCAGAUCUGUUACAUGUAAGGUAAAUCACGUUCUUGUAUCAUUAUUUGUCUGUUUAACUUGCUCUGAUCUGUCUUUUGGGCUCUGUGGUGGUUGAAUCUGAAUUUAAAAACAAAAAUUCGUUGCAUUGUUACAAAUCUUGUUUUACGAAUUUAAAGCAUUUAAUCAUCAAUGCUUGAAUAAAAGUAAGUUAAGUAAAGUUCCUCUGACAGGUAUCAUGUUUUAUUAGAUCAACCAAGGAUUAUCAUAACCGGUUUUAAAUCUUACUAUACAAGUUUGUACUCAUAUGUUGACGGUGGAACAGGAGAAUAGCGAUGGCUGAGGGAAUUGUAUCGUUUGGAGUGCAGAGACUCUGGGAGCUCUUGGCUCGAGAAUCUGAGAGACUGCAGGGAGUUCAUGAGAAAGUUGAUGAUCUAAAAUGUCAGAUGAGAAUGUUACAGUCGUUGUUGAAAGAUGCAGAUGCGAGGAAACAUGAGAAUGAAGUAGUGAGAAACUUCUUGGAAGAUGUCAAAGACAUUGUUUUUGAUGCUGAAGAUAUAAUUGAAUCUUUUCUUUUGAAAGAAUCUAGCGGUGACGAAAAAGGGAUCAAGAGGCGUGUGAAAAGACUUUCGUGUUUCUUAGUGGAUCGCCGAGAUAUUUCUAUGGACAUUGAAGGCAUAACUAAGAGAAUGUCUAAGGUUAUUGCCCAAAUGCAGAGCUUUGGAAUACAACAUAACGUCUACAGAUCACCGUCUCUACAAGAGAGGCAAAGGGAGAUCCGACAAACAUAUCCUAAGAGGUCUCAAAAGGAUCUUGUGGGGGUGGAACAGAGUGUUAACGAAUUGGUUGGUCAUUUGGUGGAGAAUGAUAGCAUCCAAGUAGUUUCCAUAUCUGGGAUGGGUGGUAUUGGGAAAACCACUCUUGCGAGACAAGUUUUUCAUCAUGACAUUGUUCGAAGUCAUUUUGAUGGAUUCGCAUGGAUCUGUGUUUCCCAAGAUUUUAAGCGGAAGGAUAUUUGGCAGAAGUUAUUGCAAGACCUUAGACCACAUGAUACGGGCAUUGAACAAAUGAAUGAGGGUACACUCCAGGCUAAGAUCUUUCACUUGUUGGAAACAUCUAAAUAUUUAAUUGUCAUGGAUGAUGUAUGGAAAAACAAAGACUGGGAUAUAAUAAAAGACGUUUUCCCCCAAGAAAGAGGUGAGUUCUCUUAUUGUACAUACAUUACUUAAUACUCCCCAUAGCUAUUUCAUAAAUGCAUUUGAGUCCCUGAGAUGAAAGGAAAUACAAUUGCAGGUUGGAAGAUGAUUCUUACUUCACGUGAUGAAGGUGUUGGUUUCCAUGCAAACCCAACAUGUUUUCCCUUUAGACCAAAAACUCUUACUCAUGAAGAAAGUUGGAAGCUAUGUGAGAGCAUAGCAUUCCCUAGAAAAGAGAUAACGGGUACGUUUUUCUAUAAGAAUCAUAUGAAUCCUUAAGGCCAGAAAUCUCUUACGGGCAGUGUUUUUAAAACCGGAUCGGCUAGCGAACCGAAAUUUUUUUAGAUCAUGGGUCAUUGUGGUUCAACCGGGUCUGAACCGUGUUCGAUCGGGUUUAAUUAGAUUAAACUAAAUUUAAUGAUAUUUUAUAAAUAAUAUGCAUAUUCUUAAAAAAAAAUAGAUCAUAUCAAAUAAAAUGUUUAAAUAGCCAUAAUGUGUAGAAAAACUUAAAAAUAACAAUUAAAAUUUAAAAUCAAUAUGAAAAGCAUAAUUAAACUUUAUUCGCAAAUCUUAUCACUCUAAAUCUUUAUCAUCUUAUAAAAAAAAUUUAUAGUAAAAUUUAUAUUUUGAAAUACAAAUUUCACAAACAUAAAGGUUUCAAUUAUUAGAAGUCUUCAAAACAAGUGAUCAUGAAAUAAAAUUUAAACAAAGUGAGAAGUAGACAAAAACAACAUCUUGACGUAUUAAACUUUGUGAAUCUUGUAAUUUAUGAGUUGUAGAGACGACAAAAGAAAAAGACGAAAGACGAUAUUUUAUUAAUCUUUAAUAAAACUUAUUUUUUAUUUAAAAAAGAAGAAAAAUUAAUUAUUUCAUUAACAAAAUUUUGGCUUAUAUACUAACCGUAGUUUGGCCGAUUCAUUGGAUCGCCGGUUCCUAGGGUUUUGACGGUUUGAUAGGGGUUUUUAACUGGUUCAAAUUUAGUUGGGUUUUAGUAUUAACCCAACCCAGAUUAUUUUCGGUUGAUAGUUCAACCCGGUCUGACCGCCAGUUCGGUCCAAGUUUAAAAACAUUGCUUACAGGACAUCUUAUCAAAAAUCUUGUGUAUUAAUUCCUAAAUCCGCAUGACAUAUAUUAUUAUAUAUACCUUUGAGAAACAAUAUACCAUUUGAUUUAUUUCAUAUGUCAUCACCAAUGUUUUAAAAACCAGAUCAGACAUUGACUCGACAUUGUACAUGGGUAAAUGGUCGGCUCGGUCCAACCCGGUUCAAGCGGCUUUUAAAUUUUAAUCUAAUUUUAAAUUAAGUAACUAUAUAUAUGUAUAAUCAAUUUAAUUAUAUAAACCUUUCUAUCGUUGUUAAUAUAAAAAAUCAUAUGAAAAUAAAAUGCAACUUCAAAAAUAAUAUAAAAUUAUAGUGAAAGUAAUUUAUUUAGUUAAAUAUUAAAAACAAUAUGAUUUUGUUUUGAAAUCUUUUUUAAAAUUGCAAAUUUUAUUUUUAAACUUGAAUUUGAGAAAACCGGAUUUUAAUAUCGAACCAAAUCACCGGUUUUAACGAGUUUGACAAGUUUUUUGAUAAGGUUUACCAGUUUAAUUCAAAUUUGGUUUUAACACAACUAGGAACCGGCUAAAAGAACGAGUCACGGUCCAAACAGACGGUCCGGUUUUCAAAACGUUGGUCAUCACCAUAAUGACUCUUUAAUUUCUUAGAGCAAUAAGUUAUAAUCUAAACAUAUAAUCUAAUUCUCAUUAGACUAACUAUAAAAUUAAUUAUUAAAAUACAAAACAUAUUAAUUAUCCCUUCUUUGCUUAACACGUGUUAUUAUUUUAUUUAUUUAAAGAAAAUAAAUUUACGUUUUAAUAUUAUUAUAUUUAUAUUUUAAAUUCAUCAGUUUAGAAAAGAGUGAAAUCAUAACUUUUUGUAAUUUUGUUUCAUUUGAUUUGGUUAAUUUAUUUUAAUUUCAAUAGAAGAUAAUUAUGUUUUAUAUAAAUAUGAGUUUAUUUAUAUUUUUUUAGUGAUUAUUUAUUUUAAAUAUGUUUUUUAUCCUUUAAGUGUAUAAAUUUUAAUAAAUUUUGAAUUUCUAUUUAAAUGUAUAGCUAAAAUAUGUUAAAAUCGUAAACUAAAUUUGUUAAUUAAUAAAAUAAACUAAUAGAUCCUAAUAAAAUUUGAAACAUUUAAUCAUAAAAAAUUGAUUAGCAUUGCUUUAGUUUUGUAUUUGUUAAUGCACACUUACAAUUUAUUUUAGUAGGAAAACAAUAUAUAUUUAUAGAAAUAUGAUUAAUAAUUUAAAAAUUAAAAUGUAAUUAUAUUUAGUUUAUUUUUUUAUAAAUAUGAUAUAUAUAUUUUUAUUAUAUUUUAAUGAUGAUAUAUGAAUUAUUGAUUAUUAAUGUAUUUAAAGUCCUGUCAAAAUAAAAAUUUACACAAAAAUGUUAACUUUUAAAUAGUGAUAUAAAAAUUAUUAGUUACUACCAUAUUUAAAAUUUCUUACUAAAAAUAUAAAUUUAUAAAAAUUAUUAUUUAUUACCAUAUUUAUAAAUAUUUACAGAAAUAUAUUUUUAUAUAAUAAAAUUUUACAUAUCAAAAAAAAAAAUUGAUCUCAUAUCACUAUUUUCUAAAGACAGGUUAUCUUUUUUUUGUGAGAAUGUAUGUUGUGAUGACAUGUACAAACCACUUUGCGAAAAUGUUUAGGGAUAUUAGAUUUUGAAUGAUAAAUAUUUGAUAAAUUUGACCCAAAAAAAGAUUUGAUAACAAUUUGUGUAUCUUCUAUCAUUUUUAUUUAAUUUUAUAUUAUUAAAGUAAAUUAGACAAUCUCAUUAAUCAUAUAAUAAAAUUAGAUUUUUUGUAUAUGAUAUAUUUUGAUUUUUUAAAUGACUAUAAAUUACUUAAAUUGUUAAAAAAUUGUUGUCAUCAGUGGUUUAAUUUUGUUUGUUAUAACAAGAUACAAAUGAUCAAAAAAUGGGUAUGAAGUCUCAAUUAAUAGAACUUUAGAUUAAAAUAUAUAUAUCUAUUUUAAUACUGUUUGAAUUAAACUAUCUAUAUUUUUUUCUGAACAUUUGAAAAGACUAGAGACAUUAUUUCGAGGCUCUAAUCUUAUAACAUGUGUUACUGUUUUCAGAAUUUAUUGUUGAUGAAGAACUAGAAGCCAUGGGUAAGAAAAUGGUCACACAUUGUGGAGGACUACCAUUAGCCGUUAAAGUGUUGGGAGGCUUGUUAGCUAAUAAAAACAUGGUUGAAGAGUGGAAAAGAGUAGAUGAGAAUAUUCAAACUCAGAUAGUUCGCAUAGAUGACAAAAGUCAAGAUUCUGUUUACCGAGUAUUGUCUAUGAGCUAUGAAGAUUUGCCAAUGCAAUUAAAGCAUUGCUUCCUCUACCUAGCUCAUUUUCCCGAAGAUUACAAGAUACAAGUGAAGAGAUUGUAUUAUUACUGGGAAGCAGAAGGAAUAAUAACGUCAAGUGGCGAUGGAGAAACCACUAGGAAAAUUGGAGAAGACUACAUAGACGAGCUAGUAAGGAGAAAUAUGGUUAUUGGAGUAAAAGAGGAAUUGAGUUGCAGUUGGGAGUAUUGUCAAAUGCAUGACAUGAUGAGAGAAGUAUGUUUAUAUAAAGCCAAAGAAGAGAACUUUCUUCAGUUUAUCAAAGUCCCUACUACUUCCACCUCCACCAUCAAUGCUCAUACUCCUACCGGAUCUCGAAGACUCGCAGUACACGGUGGUGGUAAUGCAUUUGAUAUGCUGGGAAGUAAAAACAAUCAAAAAGCUAGAUCUGUUUUGGGGUUUGGACUCGACAGCAACUUGUGGAAGCAGUCAGCUCAAGGACUCAGAAAUUUACAAUUACUUAGGGUCUUAGAUCUGAGUUUAGAUUAUAAAAACGACUCUAAAGGAGGGAGAAUACCUUCGAGCAUUGGAAAACUCAUUCAUUUGAGAUAUUUGAGCUUAGCCAUAGGUUGGGCAACUCAUGUACCUUCUUCUUUACGGAAUCUAAAGCUUCUAAUCUAUUUGAAACUUAAGUCCUACGGAAGUGUUCAUCUGCCAAGUAUCUUUAACGAGAUGGUAGAGUUGAGGUUCCUGCUGCUUCCCUUUUUGGUUGACGAUAAAACAAAGUUGGAAUUGGGUAAUCUAGUGAACCUGGAGUACUUGAGCGGCUUCCGAUCAGAAAACGGUAGCAUCACAGACUUACUCCGAAUGAAAAAGCUCAGGAUUCUCCACAUAAAACUCAAAGGCAGGUAUACUUCUGAAACUCUAGCUUCAUCUCUCUGUGAAUUAAGAAACCUGGAGGAGCUUAGCUUGAUCGAUGAGAAGCUUAGCUUGAUCGAUGAGAAGCUUAGAUUGAUCGAAGAGAACAACGAAUCCGAUGGGGCUUAUGAUGUGGAUUUCGUUUGGAAUUUCAUUCAUCUAAGGCGUUUAGCGCUGGGCAUACAUGUGACAAGGCUUCCUGAUCACUCUCGAUUUCCUCCCAACCUUGCACACAUAUUUCUAAGUGACUGUAAAAUGGAGGAGGAUCCACUGCAGAUUCUGCAAAAGUUGCUUCAUUUAAAGUCGGUUGUAUUACAUCUAAGGUCUUUCGUGGGGAGGAAGAUGGUGUGUUCAAAAGGUGGGUUCCCUCAAUUAUGUAAGCUAGAAAUAUGGAACCUAUACGACUUGGAAGAGUGGAUAGUCGAAGAAGGAUCGAUGCCAUGUCUUCGUACCUUGUCUUUAUGGAAUUGUAAAAAGUUGAAGGAGCUACCGGAAGGGCUCAAGUAUAUCACUUCUUUAAAGGAGCUGGAAAUCACACACGAGAACAAGGAGUGGAAGACGAAACUCGUACCAGGUGGGGGAAGUUACCACAAAGUCCAACACAUUCCCAGUGUUCAAUUACACUAUCGUGGCAACGAAUAAGGAGAAUAAAACCGUCUCAGGUAUAUAUUUUUUUGUGUAUAAUGUCAAAAUUGUUCAUUUUGUUGGGUAUAUAUCCUUCUUGAAGUUUAGUGUGAAAAUCUCAACUAUCUGUUAUUCGGUUUUCAGGUGAACCUACUCAGGAUCAGUACCCACCACUAUCGAUUGUGUGAUAUGAUAAUAAGUCGUUUUUGUUGUAUGAAGUUUACAUAUCUUGUUUGUGAUAUAUUCCGUUUAUCUAUUUGCAUGUUCAUUCACUGUAAUGCUAAGUUUGGAAAUACAUUUGUAUGUUGAACCAUAUCUUAUUCGAUGUUCUCCGUUGUGUGUGCUUAGUUGACUUGUAUAGUUACCGAACCGAACCUGAGUUUUCCAAAUUUGUCUUUUACUACCAAACCGGACAAUAUUGAUGGUUUAAAAACAAAACUCGGUCUGGAUUAUAAUAAAAUCAGAUCAUGAGAGACUACCAAACAAGAGAGUUCUUUCGAUCUCUGCAAAUUUGUUUUUGACUCUAAUUGAGAGGAGAAGAAGUGUACUAGUUGAAGCGAAUCCAAAACGCUGUGAUCCGUGCGUUUUCAGACAUCAAUCGCCAAACGUAUGCAUCAUUGGGUUAGAGCUUCCUCUUCCGAUUUCACCGGAACUCCUCCACAGCCUAGGAGGUAAAUUAAUUACUUCUUCUCCAUUCAAUUUUCGAUUUUAAUUUCAGCUGAUUAUUUUUAUUGUUCAUCAGUGGACAUACAGCUGUCAAUGUCGGAAAAUCCAUGGUCGUGGUGUUCGGCGGUCUCGUCGACAAAAAGUUCCUCAACGACAUCAUUGUUUAUGACAUUGGUAAUAUCAUACUUUAGGUAGAAAGAUGCUUUCUUUCUCACGAGUUACGUUCUUGGCUUGCUCUGCUUGUAAUGACUAUUGUCUCUAGUAGUUUAUUUGAUAGAACGAUGCUUACAUCAAAGAUAGUUACUUUGCCAAAAAAAAAAAAAACUAUAGAAAGCUGAAAACUUCAAGAUGAGAUUAUUCGAUUCAGUGUUGUUGAAGAGGAAUCAGAUGGAUACUCUCUUUUCUUAUUUUGCUAGUUUUGUUUCUGAGCUUCUUUUGUCCCCUCCUUGGCCUUGUUUUAAGUAUCAUAUGUUCAGCUUUUUUAAUCAUGUGAUAAUUGGUGGUCUUAUGAUUUGCUUCUUCUUUAAUCCUGUCGACUAGAAAACAAACUCUGGUUUGAGCCAGAAUGUACUGGCAGCGUUUCUGAAGGAAAAGUUGGCCCUACACCUCGCGCGUUUCAUGUUGCCAUCACUAUUGAUUGCCAUAUGUUCAUCUUUGGUGGACGUUCUGGUGGCAAGAGGUACGCACUUCUAUAUAUUUUCUAGUUAUAAGCGUUUUUACAUAAGAGCUCAUUUCUAUAAAUCAAUUACAGGUUGGGUGACUUCUGGGUUCUAGAUACUGGUAAGUGUGCCUCGGAGUUUUAAUUUCUCUGCUUUGGCACUUCUAUGAGACACCUAUUAAUGACAUUUUCUGCAGAUAUAUGGCAGUGGUCUGAGCUAACCAGCUUUGGCGACUUACCUACGCCUCGUGAUUUUUCUGCUGCCGCUGCUAUUGGCAACCAGAAAAUCGUGUUGUGAGUAUCAUAAAUUUUAGACGUUCCAUCAGGUUGUUGCAUGCAUUGGCUUAGCCUAUGAUCAUUGGCAGGUGUGGCGGCUGGGAUGGUAAAAAAUGGCUGUCAGAUGUGUAUGUUAUGGACACAAGUAAAACUUUAUCUCUCUCCUCUACUUCAGUUUUGUACUAGACUGAUUUUAGUAUCUGAUAAUGUCAGCUUUCUUGGUAUCUGUUAGUGUCCCUUGAAUGGAUGGAGCUGUCGGUUUCGGGGUCGUUGCCACCUCCUAGAUGUGGUCAUACAGCCACCAUGGUUGAGAAACGUUUACUUGUUUUUGGUGGCCGAGGUAUAACACCUUGAACCUAAACUUUGUAGCUUCUUGCUCUUGACUUAUCACCAUUCUCUUAAAAAAGUUAAGGUGUUUGCAUAUUAAACCAACUUGGCGGACUCAUAUGAUAGAUAAAAGUAAAAGACCGAAAAUUUAUUUACUGUUCCACCUUUUCAUUCAUCAAACAUGUUAAGGAUGCUGAUGUGUUUGGUUCCACGAAUUACACAUCCAAAUUCAAUAUAAGUCCAUAAAAUGCAAAUAAAGAAAACAAACAAAUUAGAGGAGGGGGGGAACUUGAGUGAAAUAUGAAUCAAAUAUUAAUAAAUAGCAAUUUAUGCAUCGUUGUAAGUUAAUAACUUCCAGUCAUUAAUGAAUUGUCCUGAACGGGAUGGUAUAUGUAAUGUAGAAACCCUCUUCCAAUCUUAAGGAUUCAUACUUUUAAGCAAAUCCACUAGUUUGAUAGUUCUUUGGUUCUGACAUCUGAGGUAUAGGUCAUGAUCACAAUUAUUUUUUGCUUGAUCUGAUAACAACUAAGCUAAAACUAUGGUGUGUGAUAUGUUUAUCUUUGACAGGAGGCGGUGGCCCUAUCAUGGGUGAUCUGUGGGCUUUGAAGGGUUUAAUAGAUGAAGGUACAUCCUUAAUUAAAUUACUUCAAAAUUGCAUUAUAUGUAAUGUUCUGGUUGCUGAUCUUAUUGUGGUUAACCUUUGUUGUGGAAGAAAGAACGUGAAACACCUGGAUGGACGCAACUAAAGCUUCCUGGCCAAGCAUCAUCAGCUCGAUGUGGUCACACUGUCACAUCCGGAGGACAUUAUGUAUGUCUUUUUCAGCUCCUGUUUGUUCUUUUGUGUAAGGAUAGCUUCGCAUGACAUACAUCACUCACAUCAUUAAUUUUCAUGUAUGCAGCUUCUGUUAUUUGGGGGACAUGGAACUGGUGGAUGGCUGAGUCGUUAUGAUGUCUAUUAUAAUGACACUAUAAUUUUAGACAGAGGUAAAUUCUUGCUUAUGAGAUUCGUCUCCUCUGCUAAAGGAGCACUCUAAAUCCAAAAAUCCACCUCAGUAAUUUACAAUCUAGUGAGAUGAUAAAAUUGUGAUGUGCUUUAUCAUUUUUCUUGCUGAGCAUUGCUGUCUACGCGUUGUUGCUAAAUUUAUAUUUUCACAUACUAGUAACUGCACAGUGGAAGCGCUUACCAAUAAACAAUGAUGAACCUCCUCCUCCUCGAGCUUACCAUACCAUGACAAGUAUUGGAGCUCGUCAUCUUUUAAUUGGUGGUUUUGAUGGAAAAUCAACCUUCGGUGAUCUUUGGUGGCUAGUUCCUGAAGGUAUCUUACUCUUAUUUGUACUGAAUGUUUCUUAUCGUUGGAAAGUCUUUAGACGAACUAAUCUUGGUGUUGAUCACAGUUUGUAUUAAAAGUUUUGAAGGUUUACACAUCUGAUUGAAUUUAGUAUACUGUUUAGCCUUCUAAAAAUUAAAGAGAAAAAUGGACGUGGAACUCUAGAUAGGGAUCUCACUCAAUACUUGUGGGCUUCAAAUACCCGAGGAGUCAGAAGAUGAAGAGUUCGUUGAGUUAGGAACCAGAUUGAUUGAAGGAGAUGUAAUUGAUAAUCGAGCCUCCAUGAUGCAGGUUAAUUUUUCCUCUUGUCUUUUUCAGGAUGUGUGAUUGUGUUAUUCUUGUACUGAAAAUGCUUCUCAACGAAUAGAUGGCAGCUGAAGCACUUCGUCAACAUUGGAAAGAGUCCACUCCUGAGACUUUGCAGUUAAAAGAGCUUAAUGCCUUGCUUCGAGAUUAUCAGCGACUUGUUUCCCGAAAAUACACGUGAGUUCUUACAUUAUCUUGUUUAUGUAGAUUAUCUUUUAUUUCAAUAAAAAUGGUUGUUCUUUGAUUGCGCUUGGAAUGGCAUUAGAAUAACUUAGAUAAAUCUCCUGAGAGUUUAGGAGUGUUAUAUAGAGUUAAUAUCAAUAUCAUUUUUUGUGUCUUGAAUAGCCCUUGAGACUUUUUAAUCCAAGAAUUGCCAAAACUGAUUCAUUUCUUAAUGUUGUGCAGUCCUCACAUAAAAGUUGAUUGUAAAUGCAUCGCUUUGUACCCCUUUGAAAAGUAUUAAACAUCAUGAAAUUUCACAUUUGAUUCUUCCUUUCCGUCACACAUGUUUGUUUUCGUUGUUGUGGCGUGAGUCUCAGAGCACAGAGCAGCUUAACAUCUACUGAUUUUGGCCUCCCCGGAAAGCAGACGUUUACGUUUUAUCAUAUCAAAACUUCUUCCGAGGUAAUACCACAUACUUUCCUCCUGUUAUGAGCUCUCUUGAACAUUUGACAGCAAUCAAUCAACACAUCAGGCUCUUGGCACAUGCUCUGACAUGUCAAUUUAACAUUUUGUUAUUCUCAGUUACGGAUGGAUGACAUCCCGAAGUUGCUGGAAGAAUACAAAACCCUUGUAAUCUGAUUGAGGAGCUCUGCCAUGAAACUCACAAGGAGAAUACAAAACUCAUGAAGUAGCUGCCAAGAAGAUCACCAAUAUUGCUAUCAGCACUACCAUUGCAAACAACAAAACUAAAAAAAGUCUCAACAGAAUCAUAUAUCUGAUAGACAACAAGACAUGUACAACUUCUUUUUAGUCAAGAACAAAAACAUGUACCCAUAUGUAAGAUUUUCCAUUAUCUCCACUUAAUCCGUAUCUCAGCGUCUGCUCUUUUUUUUUCUUGUUUAGCCUCUUGCAUUUUACUUUGAAAAUAGAUUGAUUUGCCUUGAAGCUAAUGUUCGAACCCCGAUCCAUCUUUGAGCAACUGUUUUAGUUCCGUGUCUAGGAGACCAGUGUUCUGCACUAUCGCAUCUUGGUCUCCUACUUGAGAUGUGAUGCUUCCAUACAAUGUCCAGCCACUGGCGUUGCCUAGUAAUUAAUAUCAUCUCCACCAUAUCACUAUUUGCUGCAUCCCCUCCUCCAUAAGAAACAUAAAACAUAAAAGUUAGGUAGCUCUAAAACAUUUCUGAUCAUAACAAAAAGUAAGAUCUAAACCACACUUGAUGAUUACGUAAGUUGGUUCGUAAUUUUUACCAAUCUUUGGUAUGAGGAACUGGAGAAAAGAUUCCAAAUAGACUGAGGAAGAAAGACAUGCAGAUUCCGGAGAUUUGAUAGGUUGGUGUCAAGGCCACAAAGCAUCAAGCUUUGUUAACAUGUAGUAGUAGUAGAACCAGAAGAACUUGACCACAGUACGGCCGUAUCCUAUCAUUGAGUAAAGGAUUAUAGUAUGUAAACUCUAGUUUGUAUGGUGUCAUACUACAUGAUCUAAUAACUUUGUCUAUAUUACCAAUUUUCCCAAUUAAUUAUUUCUAACGAAAAUAUAAUGUAAAUAUCAAUGAAUAUAUUUUGAAAGUUGAAAAUGAGGAAGAAAAUUUUUUUUACCAAAAAGAAUAAUAAGGGAGAAGUAUAGUGAAUGUUUCGAGUGGGGCCUAAAGCAAAUGCAUUAUUGCCUUGCGAAAAAAUCAUUAUCGCCAGAGACUAGAAAAAAACUCCUAUUUUCUUUUCUAAUUCAAAAUUAGAACCACAAGAUGACUGUCAUAGACUGUCGAUACUCUUUCAUUAUUUCUUCUUCCAAAGAACGUCGCUAAGCAAGUUGCAGAUCUGUUACAUGUAAGGUAAAUCACGUUCUUGUAUCAUUAUUUGUCUGUUUAACUUGCUCUGAAUCUGAAUUUAAAAACAAAAAUUCGUUGCAUUGUUACAAAUCUUGUUUUACGAAUUUAAAGCAUUUAAUCAUCAAUGCUUGAAUAAAAGUAAGUUAAGUAAAGUUCCUCUGACAGGUAUCAUGUUUUAUUAGAUCAACCAAGGAUUAUCAUAACCGGUUUUAAAUCUUACUAUACAAGUUUGUACUCAUAUGUUGACGGUGGAACAGGAGAAUAGCGAUGGCUGAGGGAAUUGUAUCGUUUGGAGUGCAGAGACUCUGGGAGCUCUUGGCUCGAGAAUCUGAGAGACUGCAGGGAGUUCAUGAGAAAGUUGAUGAUCUAAAAUGUCAGAUGAGAAUGUUACAGUCGUUGUUGAAAGAUGCAGAUGCCAAGAAACAUGGGAGUGAAGUAGUGAGAAACUUCUUGGAAGAUGUCAAAGACAUUGUUUUUGAUGCUGAAGAUAUAAUUGAAUCCUUUCUUUUGAAAGAAUUGAGUGGAAACCAAAAAGGGAUCAAGAGGCAUCUGAAAAGACUUUCUUGUUUCUUAGUGGAUCGCCGAAAUAUUUCUAUGGACAUUGAAGGCAUAACUAAGAGAAUGUCCAAGCUUGUCGAGCAAAUGCAGAGCUUUGGAAUACAACAGAUCGUCUACAGAUCACCGUCUCUACAAGAGAGACAGAGGGAAAUCCAACAAACAUAUCCUGAGAAAUCUCAAAAGGAUCUUGUGGCCGUGGAACAGAGUGUUAAGGAACUGGUUGGUCAGUUGGUGGAGAAUGAUCGCAUCCAAGUAGUUUCCAUAUCCGGGAUGGGUGGUAUUGGAAAAACCACUCUUGCGAGACAAGUCUUUCAUCAUGACAUUGUUCGAAGUCAUUUUGAUGGAUUCGCAUGGGUCUGCGUUUCUCAAUAUUUUAAGAAGAAGGAUAUUUGGCAAAAGUUAUUGCAAGAGCUUAGACCACAUGAUACGAGCAUCGCACAAAUGAGUGAGGGUACACUCCAUGCUGAGAUCUUUCACUUGUUGGAAAGAUCUAAAUACUUAAUUGUCAUGGAUGAUGUAUGGAAAAACGAAGACUGGGAUGUAAUAAAACAUGUUUUUCCCCAAGAAAGAGGUGAGCUCUCUAAUUGUACAUACAUUACUUAAGUACUCCCCAUAGCUAUUUCAUAAAUGCCUUUUGAAAUACAAUUGCAGGUUGGAAGAUGAUUCUUACUUCACGCGAUGAAGGUGUUGGUUUCCAUGCAGAUCCAACAUGUUUUCCCUUUAGACCAAAAAUCCUUACUCCUGAAGAAAGUUGGAUGCUAUGUGAGAGCAUAGCAUUCCCUAGAAGAGAGAUAACGGGUACGUCCAUUUGUCCAUGUUUAUAACCGAGUCCAUUAAAGACCCUUUUUGUGUGUGGACAAACAUUGAUCAUGUUAUUAAGAACCGAGUCCAUUAAAGACCAAACCUAUUAACAUCAGUGUUAACAUGACUUAUCCAUGGAAUCCAUUAGAGACCAUAUAAGUAAACCUACUACAAAAGACAAACCUACAAUAUAUAAGUUCUGAAUUUCAAAUCUAUUAAAGACCACAGCUUCAUAAGUAGGAUACAUAACAUAAAAAAUACUUGUAAAUUCACAUAUUGUAGUUUUAGUUUUAAUUUUAAUUUACGUAUUAAUGUUAACUAGAUUUUUGACAAAAAUUAUAACUUUAUACAUAUUUCAUAUGUUUUUAAGUUUUGUGCAUAAUUUAUAUUUAAUUUGUGUAUCUAAUUUAUUUUUAUGUUAGUAACUAACAUCUAAUAUAAGAUGAACUUAUAAUAUUUUAUUUUAAUGUACAUUAAUUUAUAAUCAUUUACAUUUUACAGAAUUACAUACAUUCAUAUAUAGAGUUUAUUAGUUUUUUUUUAUAAAAAUUAUAUGAAUACUAUUAUAUGAUAAUGAAAAUAUAAUUAUCUGUUUAUUUUUCCCAAGUUUUAAUUUAUGUUUCUAUAAUUUAACACUAAAACGAAGUAAUCACAUAUAUCAUAUUAGUUAAAAUUUGUUUAAUAUUCUUAUAAUACUUUAUGAUUUUAUAUGUAUGUUACAACAAAAAAAUGAUUUUAUAUGUUUACUCAACCAUCUCAUACUAAAUAACCUUUGUAUAUUGAUAAAAUAAUCCGUAAAAAUUACACAUAAAUAUAUGAACCAUAACCCAAUAUUUAUAUAAGUAGGUUUAGUGCUGGUUUUUAGAAUUAACGCAGAAUAUUCUUUAUAGAUUUCAAUCGUGUAAAAUUACGAAAUUUAGAAUAUUUUGAGGAUGCCAGAAUUAUCAAAAUUUAAAAUAUUAAGAUUGAUAUCAUUGAUGUCAAAAAUAUACCAUUUAGCUAGGUCUAAAUUUUUUAUAAGAAAUUGCAUUCAAAGUUUUUGUUUUCAAACGUAAAUAUCUAAGUUUUGAAAUAUUUAAGUCAUUUUCAUUUGAAUGAGUAAAUUUUGACCUACUAAGAUUUAUAAAUGUGAUUUUCUAGAUUGUAAGUUAUUUAGUAAAUAUUAAAAAUACAAAAAAUAUAUUCUCAAAACUGUUAAAGUUUUGUUAUGCUUCCAUAAUUUCAGCUUAUCAAAUAUCUAAUCUAUUAAAAGAAAAGUACCAUUUUUAUCUACUACAAAAUUGUCAUACUAGAAGUCUAGUUCCAUAUAUUUUAUUGUUUACUUAAUGUAUAACAUUUCUAAAUAAUUAUAAGGAUAUUAAUAACAAAUCUAUUUUAACUAUAAAUUUAAAUUUUAGUUUUAGGAAUAACAAAAUCUGUAGAGAAAAAAUCUAACAAAAUCUUUUUAAAAUUUUAAAUAUUAUUUUAAUUAAUGCACUGAUUAAUUUCGUAAUUAGUAGUAUAAUAUUAUUAUAAAUUAAUUUUAAUCAAAAUUUUAUUAUAAACAAAAUAAUGAAAUUAUAUGCUAAUUUUAUAAUUUUUAUUAGUAUAUUCUACAUUAUAUUAAAAUAGAAUUAAUUAAUGAAUUACAUAUUAACAUUAUGUUUUUGUACAAACAUAUUAAAAUUAUGUUGAAUUGGUAAACCAAUAUAUUUUGAAAAAUACUUUCAUUAGAUAAAUAAAUAAAAUGUCAUUCACGCUUAAAGUGACUAAAAUAUCAUUCACAUUUUAAAAUGAUUAAUAUUUAUAAAUUAUGUAAUAAUUUUUACAAAAAUUAAAAUUGUUAACAUAUGUUAAAUUUUAAUAUUUAGAACUAUAUAUCAUCUAUUAAGUUAUUUUUAAAAUGACAGCAAUAUAUUAUCAUAAAUGAUUAUAUACAAAAUAAUAUAAAAUUUUAUAUUUAUAAAUGAAAUGUUACCCACACGGGUGUGCGGGUUACAAUCUAGUUUGAAUUAUAGCAAAUAACUAUGUAUAUGAACAAUACCAAUAAAUUUGAAUGUUAUAAAUUAAAAUAGGUUUGCUAGUAGGCAAUUGAGAAUUUGAACAAAUUCCAUAUUUAUACUAAAAUCUUUUAUGUAGUUUGGAAAAUCAUAAUAAUACUAAAUAUAAUAGUCUUCUGAAUGAUUUAUCAAGUAUAUUCAAUAUUAUAUACUACAAAUAUGUAUAGUUUUACAUCAUGUAUUUUAUAAUUUUAGAAUAAUAUAAAUAUUCUUCUUUGUUAAGUUAGAUGAAUCAUGGGAGGAUGUUUAGCAAUUAAGUAGGAAACUAGAUUAAGAUCCACGCAAAUGAAUAUUAUAUAUAAAAAUAAAUUUUAUUUAUUAUUAUUUAUUUGUAUUCAUUUAUGUAUUAUGUACAUAAUUAAAUUAGAGUAAAUACAUAAAUCAAAACAUUACAUCUUGUUUAUUUACGAUAUUUUUUGGUAAAUAAAUCAAAACAAUUAUAUUCAUACGAUUUAUGAUCAUUUAUAUCUUGUUAUUACCAAAACAAGUUAAACCAUUAAUUACAAAAUUUUAGUGUAAGACAUUUAAUAUUUUUAGUAAUUUAUAGUCGUUUUAAAAAUUCAAAAUAUAACAUAUAAAAAACAUUUUAUUAUAUGGUUGAUGUGGUUGUUUAAUAUAUUUUAAUAAUAUAAAAUUAAACCAAAAAAAGCUAAGAUACAAAAAUUACUAUCAAAUAUUUAUAUUCAUAAUCAUUAAUUAUCAAUUUAAAAGUUAGUUUAAUAAAAAAUAUAAUAUAAAUUAAGAUGGACCGACCUAUUUCUCUAAGAAUUCUGAAUUUCAUUCUUAUGGUGACACGUGGCUACAAAACAAUGUUGUAAUGUUUCUCAAUUAAUAUAUAAGGGAUAUAGUUAAAAUAUUUCUUUUAAUAAAUUUAUUUUAAAAAAAAUAGCUAGUGGCAUGGUAUUGUAAUUAUCAUUGAAAACUAAAGGCAUAAUCUUAUUAGAAAUUCCGGUUUAAUAGUAUAAAUUUCAGUUUUAAGUUUAAUUUCCAUUAUUUUUAACUUGCCAAGGAACCCACGCGAUAACGCGUGGAAACUUAUUUUUAUAAAUAAAUAUAUGAUAUUAUAAUUUAUAUAUUGUAUAAAAAAUAAUUUUAUUAAAAGGAUUCCCAUGUCAAAACGUAGAACAUAUGUGUUUAUAUUUACUUAUUGAUAAUAUUAAAAAUGUAUAUUCUAUAAUUUUAAAUUACAACUAAAAUACAAAUAUAUCAAUCCUAAUAAAAUUAUACAUUUUUUUAUUAUUUUAGGUAAGUUACUCUAAAAUUUUAAAUUAUAUCAAUUUAUAAUAAAUAAAUAAAAUCUCUUUUUAAACAAAAAAAAUCUUUUCAAAUAAAAAAUGUAUCUUUUACGUUAGACGGUUGUGUUAUCAACGAAAAGUACGAACGACUCAUAACCUAAAAGGUACAAACACGUCUUAAACUAAGUGAUACAAACAUGAUGUGAUUCAAGAAGUAUGAACUUGGUCCAUGGGGUGGACGAAUGUACCUUGACCGAAGGUAUGAAUGUGUCAUUACCAAAAAGUGUAAAUGGUGUGAACGAAAUGGUGUAAAUUGAAAUUGAGAUCCAUAAGACAAAAAUUUUGGGCAUGGGUAAAAACAUGCAAAAUCUAAGAAAUAUUAAGAAAAUGAUAAACUCUAAUUUGGAUAGACUAUUUAUGUUGUCGAGAAAAGGUCAUACUCUUAUAUCAUCAGCACCAUGGUUGACCAUAAGACAAAAUAGUUUCCGGAUGGGUAAAAACAGGUAAAAUCUAAGAAAUAUUAAAAAAAAAGAUAUAUUAUAAUCUGGAUAGACUUUUUAUGUUGUCGAGAAAAGGUCAUACUCUAUAUCACCAGCACCAUGGUUGACCUUUAACAUUCUUUCAGUGAUGUCUCGUUCGCACUUUUUCAGUCACGAUCCAUUCUUACCUCUUCGGUCAUGAUUCAUUGACACUCCUUUGGAUACGACUCGUUUGCACCCUUUCAUUCACGAUCCAUUCACGUUCUUUCAGUUACGAUCCGUUCACACUCAUACGGUUAUGAUCCGUUUACUCCUUUUGGUCAUGACACGUUUGCACUUUUUUGUCACAACCCAUUUGCAAUCUUUCGGUCACGACCAUUUGCACCCUUUGGUCACAACCCGUUUGCAAUUUUUUGGCCACGAUUCAUUUGCAAUCUUUCGGUCACGACCAUUUGCAAUCUUUCAAACACGACCAUUUGCACCCUUUCGAUCAUAACCCAUUUGCACGUUUUCGGUCAUAACUCAUUUGCAUGCUUUCGGUCAUAACCCAUUUGUACCCUUUUUGUCAUGGUCAAGAUCCAUUCGCAUCCUUUCGGUCAUGAUUAAUUUCACAUCCUUUCGGUCAAGAACCGUUCGCACGCUUUCAUUUAUGACAGUUCAGAGAGUUUCGGUCACGGUCCUUUUGUACAUUUUCGGUCAUAAUACAUUCACACAUUUUCAGUCACAACACUUUCGCACCCCUUGGAUCAUGAUACAUUUGUAUCUCUUGGAUCAUAGCAUGUUCAUACCUCUUAGAUUAUGAUCCGUUCAUAUCUCUUAAAUUACAAAACAUUUAUACCUCUCUGUUGAUGACACUAUAUAAAUAUUUAUAAUUUUUAAUCAGUGUUAAUAUGAAAGUAAACUUAUAUGGAAUUGUUUUGCAUUUAUUAGUAUUGAGAUGAAAAUUUAUGUGUUUGUUUUUGGUUUUUACUUUACUCAUAUCUAUAUAUUAAUACUUCAUAAAUAUUAGUAUUUGUUUUAAAUAGACUUUUUAUGUUGGCCAAAAAAGAUCAUAUUAUUAUAUCACCAACAUCAUGGUUGACCUUUAGCAAUCUCUUGGUGAUGACUCGUUCGCACCAUUUAAGUCAAGACCCAUUCACACUCUUUCGGUAACAAAUCGUUCACACCCUUUUUUUGUCAUGACCCGUUUACACUUUUUCGGUCACAACCCAUUCGCAAUCUUUCGAUCACGACCAUUUGCACCCUUUGAUCACGACCUGUUUGCAAUUUUUCGGUCACAAUCCAUUUGUAACCUUUCGGUCACGAUCAUUUGCACCCUUUCGGUCAUAACCCAUUUGCACCAUUUUGGUCAUAGUCAAGAUCUGUUCUCACCCUUUCAGUCAAGAUUAAUUUCACAUCCUUUCGGUCUAGAUCCAUUCACACUUUUUCAUUUAUGAUCAUUGGCAGCCUUUCGGUUACGACCAUUUUGUAUAUUUUCGGUCAAAAAACAUUCACAUCCUUUCAGUUACAAAACGUUCAUACUCCUUGGAUCAUGAUAUGUUUGUACCUCUUGGAUCACAACACGUUAUACCUCUUAGAUUAUGAUGCGUUCAUAUCCUUAAAUCACAACACAUUUGUACCUCUUCGUUGAUGACACCACGUAAAUAUUUAUCAUUUUUUUAAUCAUUGUUAAUAUGAAAAUUGUGUCUCUUAAGUUUUUUUAUGAAAAGUUAUUUUUAUUAGUAAUGAAAUGAAAAUUUAUGUCUUUUUGUUUUUACUUUAUUCAUAUAUAUGAAUAGUCACAUCUUUCUAUAUAAAGGUGGUUAUUUUGAAAUGAUACUUAUAUGAAUAGUCACAACUUUUCAAUUUAAAUAGUCACAUCUUUUCAAAUUUAAAUGUAAUUAUUUUGAAAUUAUAGAAAUAUGAAUAGUCAAAACUUUUCAUUUAAAUAAUUACAUAUUUUACAAUUAAAUUCUGACUAAUGCACAACUCUUGAAACAAAUAACGAAAAGACACAACUUUAACAAGAAAUAAAAUUCCUAUAAAUAUACACAACUUUUCAACAUUGUUUGAGUUUUUCAUGUAAGACAUUUAAGAGAUGCAACUUUUAUGUAUAAAACUUAAGAGAUUCCAAUUUUCAUAUUAAUCAAUACACUGAUUUUUAGAAAUAAAACAAUUGCAAAUAUUUAUAAAAUAUUAAUAAACAGAUAUGAGAAAAAUAAAAACGAAAAAACAUAAUUUUCAUCUGAAUACUAAUAAAUACAACUUUUCAUAUAAAAAAUUAAGAGAUGCAACUUUCAUAUAGAUGAAUAGUCACAUUUUUUCCCAGUUUAAAGGUGGUUAUUUUGAAAUAAUACUUAUAUGAAUAGUCACAACUUUUCAAUUUAAAUAGUCACAUCUUUUCAAUUUAAAGGUAGUUAUUUUGAAAUGAUACAUAUAUGAAUAGUCACAAUUUUCAUGUAAAUAAUUAUAUCUUUUUAAUUUAAAUACUAACUAAUAUACAACUCUUGAAACGAAAUGACAUUUCUUAAUAUAUAAUGAAAAGACACAACUUUUAACAAGAAAUAAGAUUCAUAUAAAACACACAACUUUUCAACAUUGUUUGGGUUUGCUAUUAUUAAUUGUUUUUCUUCUUCACCAUUUUAUUUGAUUAGUGAAAAUUAUGCUUUGAGAAGACAUGGACAUUGGACUAUUUAUAGAUUUUUAAAAUUUUGUUUGAAGAGUCACAUCUUUUAAAUUAAAAGUUUGUGUCUUUUUGUAAUAAUACUUAUAUGAAGAGUCACAAAUUUUCAAUAUAAAUUGUCACACUCUUUCAAUAUAAAUAGUUAUUUUUAAAUAAAAAGACACAACUUUUAAUUGUUGAAAAGACACAUACUUUUAACAUAAGUGGAAUUCACAACCUUUUGAAUUAAUUGAGAUUGUUAUUAUUAGUAGAUUUUUAUAUAAACUAUAUAUAUAUAGAUAUUAUUUUUUAUUUGAACAUUUGAAAAGACUAGACAAAUUAAUUCUAGGCCAAUCUUACAAUGUGUUACUGUGUUUCAGAAUUUAAUGUUGAUGAAGAACUAGAAGCCAUGGGUAAGAAAAUGGUCACAUAUUGUGGAGGACUACCAUUAGCCGUUAAAGUGCUGGGAGGCUUGUUAGCUAAUAAAACCAUGGUUGAAGAGUGGAAAAGAGUAGAUGACAAUAUUCAAAGUCAGAUAGUUCGCAUAGAUGACAAAAGUCAAGAUUCUGUUUACCGAGUAUUGUCUAUGAGCUAUGAAGAUUUGCCAAUGCAGUUAAAGCAUUGUUUCCUCUACCUAGCUCAUUUUCCCGAAGAUGACAAGAUACAAGUGGAGAGAUUGUAUUAUUACUGGGAAGCAGAAGGAAUAAUAACGUCAAGUUGCGAUGGAGCAACCACUAGGAAAAUUGGAGAAGAAUACAUAGACGAGCUAGUAAGGAGAAAUAUGGUUAUUGGAGUAAAAGAGGAUUUGAGUUGCAAAUGGGAGUAUUGUCAAAUGCAUGACAUGAUGAGAGAAGUAUGUUUAUAUAAAGCCAAAGAAGAGAACUUUCUUCAGUUUAUCAAAGUCCCUACUACUUCCACCUCCACCAUCAAUGCUCAUACUCCUACCAGAUCUCGCAGACUCGUAGUACACGGUGGUGGUAAUGCAUUUGAUAUGCUGG